This 482-nucleotide ribosomal RNA is filed under the name uncultured bacterium. Its description in RNAcentral is "partial 16S ribosomal RNA". It matches the Rfam family "Bacterial small subunit ribosomal RNA", at positions 30 to 507 of the family's 1533-position model. The record is from RNAcentral.
AUUGAACGCUGGCGGCAUGCUUUACACAUGCAAGUCGAACAGUAACAGGCCGCAAGGUGCUGACGAGUGGCGAACGGGUGAGUAAUGCAUCGGAACGUGCCCAGUCGUGGGGGAUAACUACUCGAAAGAGUAGCUAAUACCGCAUACGAUCUAUGGAUGAAAGCGGGGGACCGUAAGGCCUCGCGCGAUUGGAGCGGCCGAUGUCAGAUUAGGUAGUUGGUGGGGUAAAGGCUCACCAAGCCAACGAUCUGUAGCUGGUCUGAGAGGACGACCAGCCACACUGGGACUGAGACACGGCCCAGACUCCUACGGGAGGCAGCAGUGGGGAAUUUUGGACAAUGGGCGCAAGCCUGAUCCAGCAAUGCCGCGUGCAGGAAGAAGGCCUUCGGGUUGUAAACUGCUUUUGUAAGGAACGAAACGGCUCUGGUUAAUACCCGGGGCUAAUGACGGUACCGUAAGAAUAAGCACCGGCUAACUACGUG